GGGACAGUAGGUUGGUCGUGCCACCGGUACGUACUGGUCUCACUGAUUCCUCCUUCCUGAAGAACCGUAAUGCCAUUAAUUUGGUGUUGCGGGGAAACAGGACUGUUACUUUGAAAAAAUUAGAGUGUUUAAAGCAAGCAAACGCUUGAAUACAGUAGCAUGGAAUAAUGAAAUAGGACGAUCGAUCCUAUUUUGUUUGUUUCUAGGAUUGACGUA
Molecule: ribosomal RNA, 216 nt
Filed under: Glomeromycotina sp.
Lineage: Eukaryota; Fungi; Glomeromycota
Description: partial small subunit ribosomal RNA
Rfam family: Eukaryotic small subunit ribosomal RNA (bases 40-216)
Source: RNAcentral